This is a long non-coding RNA of Symphalangus syndactylus (siamang), 1300 nucleotides long. RefSeq lists it as uncharacterized. Lineage: Eukaryota; Metazoa; Chordata; Mammalia; Primates; Hylobatidae. The record is from RefSeq and is a predicted model, not a curated record.
ACUGACUAGCCACACACAGGAGGAGAGGCACCUAAACUCCAAUGCCUUAGUUUCCGCCUGUAAAAUGAUGUAGAGAGUUGAUAGAGCGGUUAAAAAAUCAGACAAUACCAUACUAGCCUAAGCACAGCGCCUGGCACACAAAGACUCCGCAGUAAAAGGCGGCUCCUAUUAUUGGAACAAUUAGCAUAGAAACUCAACUGCUGCCCCUCCAGGUGGGCCUCAGAGGGGGUCGAACAGGACCAGACCCAGGAGGGCCGCACACCAACUUACGGAGGGCUGGACUCUGCGUGCCUGUGAGCCCCGGAUCCAGGGACUAAGGCAGGAGGGGUGAGAGCAGGUGAAGCGGAAGACUGGAGGAAGCUGAGUCACCGGGGAGAGGGCCCGAUUCCGCCUCGCCGCGCCUCUGGUUGCCGGGCCUUGGGUUUUUUUCUCCUCCUGGGAGUAACAAGGACGACGGCUCCUAACCCUUGAAUUAGCCUUCUGUUUCCAUUAGUGACUUUGAAGCUACCCGGCGCCUCAUCUGGGCUCCCUUGAGCUGAGGAUCAGGAAGGGGAGGGACACAGUCCUUGCCUCGCGGGCGCGGCGAGACCCCGCGGAGGGAUUCGUGCGGACUUUGGGCACCGUUAUGCCCCCAAGCCCGACACCACCUGGGGCUGGCUUGCCACGUUACUGUUCGGGGCCCGACCCACCGCCCUGCUUGCUCCGGGGACCCGGACCUCCGGUCCCGGAGAUUGGGGACCCCGAGAGCUCAGACCCCACGGAGGUGACCAUGAGACAUCAGACCCCACGUGGGGACCCCGAGGCUUCAGACCCCCACAGGAGGACACCAAGACCUCAGACCCCACAGGGUGACCCUGAGAUCUCAGACCCCUGCAGGAGGACCUCGAUACCUUAGAUCCCCAGUAAGGGAGUGAAUGAGACUUAGGAUCCCUGAGGCAGCACAUCCCUGUGGGGGCAUCCCAGGACUCAGGUCACCGCGGGGUGAACCCAAACCUCACAUUCAGGCAGUCCCCAGGCCGCCGAUCGGCCGGACACUACCCACUAUCUCGGCCACCCCCUUGGAGCUCAAAGGCUUGGCCCUCCAGCUGCUCCGCCCUGCCGGCUCCCAGGCUCAAACCUCCCGCCCGCGGAUCCCCGCCCCGGAAGCAACCAGAUGCGCCGGAGGUUACCUGACUAGUCCAAGGUGAUACAGCUGGUAACUGAUGGAGAUGUUGAUACUGAAAUUCAUGUACUUUUAGUUAUUUCUAUUGAAUCUAGAUGUAGAAUACAUGUACAAGAAUAUCAACUACCGUCUACUCAA